CCAAUAGCGUAUAUUAAAGUUGUUGCAGUUAAAAAGCUCGUAGUUGAAUUUCGGGAUUAGUACGUUGGUCGUGCCUUCGGUACGUACUGGUGUUACUGAUUCCUACCUUCUGACGAACCAUCAUGUCAUUAAUUUGGUGUGGUGGGGAAUCAGGACUGUUACUUUGAAAAAAUUAGAGUGUUUAAAGCAGGCUCGCGCUUGAAUACAUUAGCAUGGAAUAAUGAAAUAGGACGUUGACCCUAUUUUGUUGGUUUCUAGGAUUGACGUAAUGAUUAAUAGGGAUAGUUGGGGGCAUUAGUAUUCAAUUGUCAGAGGUGAAAUUCUUGGAUUUAUUGAAGACUAACUACUGCGAAAGCAUUUGCCAAGGAUGUUUUCAUUAAUCAAGAACGAAAGUUAGGGGAUCGAAGACGAUCAGAUACCGUCGUAGUCUUAACCAUAAACUAUGCCGACUAGGGAUCGGAUGAUGUUAUUUUUAAUGACUCAUUCGGCGCCUUACG
RNAcentral lists this non-coding RNA (497 nucleotides) under uncultured Glomus. RNAcentral describes it as "SSU rRNA". It matches the Rfam family "Eukaryotic small subunit ribosomal RNA", at positions 591 to 1092 of the family's 1831-position model. RNAcentral also lists the same sequence under 1 other name. Lineage: Eukaryota; Fungi; Glomeromycota; Glomeromycetes; Glomerales; Glomeraceae. The record is from RNAcentral.